Molecule: ribosomal RNA, 442 nt
Filed under: uncultured bacterium
Lineage: Bacteria
Description: partial 16S ribosomal RNA
Rfam family: Bacterial small subunit ribosomal RNA
Source: RNAcentral
CCUACGGGAGGCAGCAGUAGGGAAUCUUUCACCAUGGGCGAAAGCCUGAUGGAGCAACGCCGCGUGCAGGAUGAAGGCCUUCGGGUUGUAAACUGCUUUUAUAAGCGAGAAAUAUGAUGGUAACUUAUGAAUAAGGAUCGGCUAACUACGUGCCAGAAGCCGCGGUCAUACGUAGGAUCCGAGCAUUAUCCGGAGUGACUGGGUGUAAAGAGUUGCGUAGGUGGCAUAAUAAGUAGCUAGUGAAAUCUGGUGGCUCAACCAUUCAGACUAUUAGCUAAACUGUUAAGCUCGAGACCGUUAGGGGUAACUGGAAUUUCGAGUGUAGGAGUGAAAUCCGUAGAUAUUAGAAGGAACACCAAUAGCGUAGGCAGGUUGCUGGGACGGGUCUGACACUAAGGCACGAAAGCGUAGGGAGCAAACGGGAUUAGAUACCCCGGUAGUC